Molecule: ribosomal RNA, 463 nt
Filed under: uncultured bacterium
Lineage: Bacteria
Description: partial 16S ribosomal RNA
Rfam family: Bacterial small subunit ribosomal RNA
Source: RNAcentral
UGGGGAAUAUUGGACAAUGGGGGCAACCCUGAUCCAGCAAUGCCGCGUGUGUGAAGAAGGUCUUCGGAUUGUAAAGCACUUUCGACGGGGACGAUGAUGACGGUACCCGUAGAAGAAGCCCCGGCUAACUUCGUGCCAGCAGCCGCGGUAAUACGAAGGGGGCUAGCGUUGCUCGGAAUGACUGGGCGUAAAGGGCGUGUAGGCGGUUUACACAGUCAGAUGUGAAAUCCCCGGGCUUAACCUGGGAGCUGCAUUUGAUACGUGUAGACUAGAGUGUGAGAGAGGGUUGUGGAAUUCCCAGUGUAGAGGUGAAAUUCGUAGAUAUUGGGAAGAACACCGGUGGCGAAGGCGGCAACCUGGCUCAUGACUGACGCUGAGGCGCGAAAGCGUGGGGAGCAAACAGGAUUAGAUACCCUGGUAGUCCACGCCUGUAAACGAUGUGUGCUAGAUGUUGGGUAACUUU